AGAGUUUGAUCCUGGCUCAGAUUGAACGCUGGCGGCAUGCCUUACACAUGCAAGUCGAACGGCAGCACGGGUGCUUGCACCUGGUGGCGAGUGGCGAACGGGUGAGUAAUGUUUCGGAAUCUGCCCAAUGGUGGGGAAUAACCAGCCGAAAGGUUGGCUAAUACCGCAUAAGCCUACGGGAGAAAGCGGGGAUCGUAAGA
RNAcentral lists this ribosomal RNA (200 nucleotides) under uncultured bacterium. RNAcentral describes it as "partial 16S ribosomal RNA". It matches the Rfam family "Bacterial small subunit ribosomal RNA", at positions 8 to 211 of the family's 1533-position model. The record is from RNAcentral.